This is a non-coding RNA of Anas platyrhynchos (mallard), 1620 nucleotides long. Lineage: Eukaryota; Metazoa; Chordata; Aves; Anseriformes; Anatidae. The record is from RefSeq and is a predicted model, not a curated record.
GAGCGGCCUCAGCUGCGGCCCCGUCCCGACGCCAUUUUGUCUCCAGCCUCGGAAGUGACGUUGGGGGGAGGCCAGCGGGCAGGCCCCCCUCCAGCGGGACCCCCUCCGCAGCGGGGCCGGCCCCGGCCCCGACCCCGUUCCCCCCUCCCCAAGCUCCGAUCCCGGCCGCCCUCAGCCCCCCGGGACACCGCCUCAGCUCAUCCCCACCCGCCCGAGCCUGGACCCGCAGCGCGGCCUCCAGCCACCACCCUCAGCCCCAGACAAUGAGCUGUGAGGAGCAGGUGAAGAAGGAACUCUUGAAAAUCUGAAGCUCUAAGUGGAAACAAGAUAUAACCCUUGGCAAGUCACUUAAUCCGUGUAUCAUUCUCUCCUGACCUGGAGGUAGCACUUACCAUCCUUUCGUGGACGAGACAUCAGAGCUUUUGAGUUUGAGAACUUUGUGUUAGUAUGCAGGUUGUACUUUUUAAUGCAAGUCUGAAAUAGCAUGCAGCUAAGAUGCUUGCAAUAUCAUAAUGUAACCUCUUAAAGUACUGAAUAAUGAAUUUAAAAUAAUUGCUCCAUGUUUUAAUUAGUGUUCUAACUGUUGAUGAAUACUUUUUAAAUUAAUGGGAGGAGUCUGAGAUUUCCGUAACAUUCUUCUGGUGAAUACUUAGUUAUUGCUAGUUACUGAAUUAAUUCUUCAGAUGUUUUCUGUUCUUACAGUAAAAACAAGCCUUAUGAUGAAUCAUUGUCCUGACACCUAGAAUUACAAAUAUUCAUGCAUCACAUCAUUACUUUCACAGUAUACUACCCCUGUACAUCUUUCUCACAGACACAAAUAUAAGGGGACAACUAUGUUUAUGAUACUUUUGGUGACAUCUGGCAUUUUCAGAGGAAGCCUGGUGCCUGCUUGUCUGUUAGGGAGAGCCACAUUCAUGACUCAAAGCCAAGCUGUGAAAGGGAACAUUACUGUUACUAACAAUAAAGGAAUGAACAUGAUCAGGAAUCAGGAUUUUAAGUUAACAACAAGUGUUGAUAUAUUGAAUGUCAUUCCUGGUGAAUAAAAAUCUAACCUGGCCAGCUGGUCAAAGUAUAGAGCUGAUGUUUCCUGAUGUGCUCACAUUCAUAGGAAGUCUCCUGACCUUGCGCCCUGAUUCUGCAAGCACGUAUACUGAUCAUUCAUUUCAGCUUAUGGAGGUAUUUGCCCUAGGACAAUGUGCUGUUUGACUUCUCCCAAAGCAGAAAAGAUCCCAUCUUCCACAUAUAUUCCACCAAAGCAAACAAACAAAAAAAUAACCACCAAACAGGUAGCUCAUGUUAAACCUACUGUUGAAUUUCUAAACUAGUAAUGGAAAGCUAAAUAAUCCAGGUCAGGGAAAGCUCAGUCCCAGUACACUGCUGUACUUUACAUAGGAACGUAGACCUCUGCGAUGAUUUUCUUUUUUUUUUUUUUUUUUUUUUAGUUUAUAUUUCUAGAAUACUUGUAUCAUGAAGUUACAAAAGGGAAUUAAAUUACGAAUUCUUCAAUAGCAUAUAAAUACGUAACAAACCUUUUCACAAAGUCAUUGUUUCUUGAAGCCUCAUUGAGGCAGGAUAGAAUGUUCUACACUGGAGAUUUCUCAGCAGCAAGGCAGUGUGAAU